Verticillium longisporum is the source of this 72-nucleotide transfer RNA. It matches the Rfam family "tRNA". Rfam says of the family: Transfer RNA (tRNA) molecules are approximately 80 nucleotides in length. Their secondary structure includes four short double-helical elements and three loops (D, anti-codon, and T loops). The record is from Rfam. Lineage: Eukaryota; Fungi; Ascomycota; Sordariomycetes; Glomerellales; Plectosphaerellaceae.
GGCCGCAUGGCCCAAUGGCAAGGCGUCUGACUACGAAUCAGGAGAUUGCAGGUUCGAGCCCUGCUGUGGUCA